This 497-nucleotide ribosomal RNA is filed under the name uncultured bacterium. RNAcentral's name for it is "partial 16S ribosomal RNA". It matches the Rfam family "Bacterial small subunit ribosomal RNA", at positions 28 to 507 of the family's 1533-position model. The record is from RNAcentral.
GAUGAACGCUGGCGGCGUGCCUAAUACAUGCAAGUCGAGCGAACAGACGAGGAGCUUGCUCCUCUGACGUUAGCGGCGGACGGGUGAGUAACACGUGGAUAACCUACCUAUAAGACUGGGAUAACUUCGGGAAACCGGAGCUAAUACCGGAUAAUAUAUUGAACCGCAUGGUUCAAUAGUGAAAGACGGUUUUGCUGUCACUUAUAGAUGGAUCCGCGCCGCAUUAGCUAGUUGGUAAGGUAACGGCUUACCAAGGCGACGAUGCGUAGCCGACCUGAGAGGGAGAUCGGCCACACUGGAACUGAGACACGGUCCAGACUCCUACGGGAGGCAGCAGUAGGGAAUCUUCCGCAAUGGGCGAAAGCCUGACGGAGCAACGCCGCGGGAGUGAUGAAGGUCUUCGGAUCGUAAAACUCUGUUAUUAGGGAAGAACAAAUGUGUAAGUAACUAUGCACGUCUUGACGGUACCUAAUCAGAAAGCCACGGCUAACUACGUG